RNAcentral lists this microRNA precursor (95 nucleotides) under Nicotiana sylvestris (wood tobacco). RNAcentral also lists the same sequence under 1 other name. The record is from RNAcentral. Lineage: Eukaryota; Viridiplantae; Streptophyta; Magnoliopsida; Solanales; Solanaceae.
AGAGAGCAAUGCAGCCAAGGAUGAAUUGCCGGCGUAUAUCAUAUUACUUGGCAAAUUUUGCCGGCAGUUUGUUCCUUGGCUAUGUUGGGUUCCUU